GCAAUACAAGCUGCUGUAAAGAAAUAUCUCAAAAAAUAAUAAAACUUUCUGCUAGUAAGACCGACAAGUAAAUGCCAGUCUAAAUCACAUUGUAAUUUCUGGGUUCAACUUACCCUUCUGUGGCACUGUGAAGUAUAAGAUGGGUUUCAGAUUGUCUAAUUUAUAUAGUGCUUCUACACUGGUGGUUUCAUACUUAAGUGGAAAUCUGAUAUACACUUUUGAGAUGGAAGUUUGGGAAGGGUGGGUUUGAGUGAGUCUUUGUUUUACUGAUGCACUCUCAAAUACUUGACAGAUACUUCAGAUAGCAUGAAGGACCCUGUGGUGAUGAAGAGAGAGAGGAAAUUACUUUCUUCUGUUAGAGUUCUUAAAGAAUUCCCAUGAAUAAAGUAGAGUAAGGCAAGGGGAAGAAAUGAAAAAUCAUCAUGUAAGGUUUAAAAAACAACAGCCUGCCUAAAGCACAGAGAGGAUGGGCCACUGAGUUACUGGCCCAUGAUUCAUUUCAGUGAUUCCUGCUUGACUUGUCUCCAUUCGUAGACCAUGCUAACUGGGGUGUGCACCUCUGUCACAAAAUGUGGCCUCUGGAUAUUAUCACCAUCCUUCAUGAAUGGAAAGCUUGGGGCCUUUUCCAGG
This is a long non-coding RNA of Hemicordylus capensis (graceful crag lizard), 630 nucleotides long. RefSeq lists it as uncharacterized. Lineage: Eukaryota; Metazoa; Chordata; Lepidosauria; Squamata; Cordylidae. The transcript has 3 exons. The record is from RefSeq and is a predicted model, not a curated record.